UCUCCGUUGGUGAACCAGCGGAGGGAUCAUUGCUAAAUUCGCCCCUCGCGGGGUUAAUUUACUACCCUUUGUGAACAAACCUAUUGUUGCCUCGGUGGGCUGGCCCUUGCAAACAGGGCCCCGUCCCUCCCUCUCGGGGGGGUUGGAGCGAGCCUGCCGGUGGACCAUUAAACUCUUGUUAUUUUAUGUAAUCUGAGCGUCUUAUUUUAAUAAGUCAAAACUUUCAACAACGGAUCUCUUGGUUCUGGCAUCGAUGAAGAACGCAGC
Molecule: unclassified non-coding RNA, 267 nt
Filed under: uncultured fungus
Lineage: Eukaryota; Fungi
Description: sequence contains ITS1, 5.8S rRNA gene
Rfam family: 5.8S ribosomal RNA (bases 219-267)
Source: RNAcentral